Meleagris gallopavo (turkey) is the source of this 2086-nucleotide long non-coding RNA. The record is from Ensembl. Lineage: Eukaryota; Metazoa; Chordata; Aves; Galliformes; Phasianidae.
CACUUCGGAGCCUGGGGAGGCACCGACUGUGACGGCAGCUCAUGGGGGGCUUCUGCCAGGGGUCCUGCUCAGCCCUGAGCCCUGCGGGACACCGGCUGGCUCCAGAGUUACAUGUGCUGGCUCCAGAAUGGUGCUGGCUCCAGAGCAGCGCUGGCUGCAGGUAGGAGCUGCAGUUCAGCUCACGGUUCUUUCUGGAGCAGUGCAAAAUAUGAGCACGACAGAGAAGCUGCAGCACAAGGCAGGGCACGGCCCCGUUGCCUUCCACAGGCCCUGGCUGCAGCACUGUGCUCUCCUUGUGCCCAUCCCACAGCCCCUGUAGGGCUCAGGGCUGCAGGUCCCACAGCGCUGCAGCACUGCAGCCUGCGGGGCGGUCGCUGUGGCAGUGCUGGGUGAUGCUGUUUAUCUCAGGACAGGUCCAGGGACUGGAACACGUGCCCUGCAAUGGGUCACCUACAUUUAUCCGACUGUUCUUCGCAUCACCUUCUGAAUUUACAGCAGUUUCAUAGAAGAGAGGAAUUCUCACAACGAGGUGGAGCGGCCGACGUCAUGGCGUGCUCCAUUUGCAGUGGAUUUCCUGGGGAGCUUUGCAAGAGUUUCAACCGAGAGCAAAAUAAUGUCAGAGCUGCAAGGCUCCCCGAGGGGAUGAGGAGCACUGCAAUCCAUGGGAGCACAGAACACGGAGUGCUCAGGCUGGGGAGGGCAUGGAUGGGGGAAGGCGUUCCCUGCAGCUGGGGGGGAGGAGGAGGAGGAGAAGGAGGAGGAGGAGGAGGAGGAGGAGGAGGAGGAGGAGGAGAAAGAGGACAGAGUCUCAGCACAGGGGGUCACUGCAGCAAUCCACAGCCAGGGCAGAGCUUUGGGGGGGUUGUUAAGGGAGAUGGGGGUGGGGAUGCAGUGCUGCAGUGCGGGAGGUGGUCCGUGGGCAUGGAGGAGGGGCAGGGAUGGGACAAAGGUCCCCAGGAAUGGGGGAAUUCACGCACCUACGGGGCCGGGGGAUCAGCACCAGGACGCAGUGAUGUGGGAUACGGGAAGGCAGGGGGGAGGUGGGUGCGGGACAGCAGGGUUUGCAGGUGGGAGCCGUGGGUGCUUUUCACUGAUCGCUCCGGGAGACCCAAAAAGGGGGGAGAUGGACACCCCAGCGCCCCCAGCACCAGCAGGUGUGGGGGAGUUGGCCGUGUCUCACACCGCUCCCAGCAAAGGGCCCAAAUCCUGCAGGUGGGCUACUGAGACACCGUGCCCGGGCACCAGCGGAAGAUCAGGACCUCCCCCCCCCCGCCCAGCAUUGCUGCAGAGUGUUCCAGAACUGGAGCAGUGCACGCCUUGCUCCAGAUGGCCCUCGGAUGCAGCUGACCCAGCACAGGACCCCGGGUCCCAGCUGAGCAGCACAGUGAGGACCACCGCUCUGCAGGGAGCGGCCGCAGCGCCGACGUGGGGCCGAACCCAUCAGAGCGAAAGCACGGCAAGAUCCAGAGGCUUCCUUCCUUUUUGUGAUGGCAACCACGGGUCUGGUGCCCGCCAGAACGCAGCCGGCACCGCUGCCGUGCCCCACCACCGGCAGUGCCGCCCCGCGGCCCGACAACGCUCAGAGCACUUCCAGGUGAAAAGCACCGGGGAAACACACGUCGCUGUUAAUUGCUCGGGAGAAAACAUUUGGAAAGGAAAACCCACGACAGAACGCAGCGGCUUCACGAGAGCGGACAGAGGAGGGGCGGCCGACGCGGGAGCCGAGCACGGAGCAGCGGGCAGCACACGCAGCCCCGGGGGAGGACGGCCGCGCCGCUCCCCAUCCGAGCAGGACAGACGCCUCCGGAACGCCCCGACGCCCACCCGGGUGCCACGCAGCCUCUUACCGUGCCGCGACCACCGGAGACUUCUUGCCGGGAUCCAGCGCGGAGCCGGCCGGCUCUNNNNNNNNNNNNNNNNNNNNGGCUCUGCCCCCAGCGAGCGCGUGUCCUUGUUCAGCUGCUGCAGGCGGGAGCUCAGCUCGCUGAUCACAGUUGGCUUGUCGUCGUCAGCCCCGUGGAUCGGGCGGCUCUCCAUGGGGUCCCCCCAUAGCUUGGACCUUCUCUGAAAGAGGGAGCGUGGCCGG